UCUCCGUGGGUGAACCUGCGGAGGGAUCAUUACAGAGUUCUCGCCCUCUCGGGUAGAUCUCCCACCCACUGUUAUCGUUACUGUGUUGCUUUGACGGGCCGCCGGGCCCCGCUCGGCCUCCGGCUCCGGCUCGCGCGCGCCCGCCAGAGGCCCAGCAAACUCUGAAUGUUAAUGUCGUCUGAGUAAUAUAUAAUAGUUAAAACUUUCAACAACGGAUCUCUUGGUUCUG
Molecule: unclassified non-coding RNA, 229 nt
Filed under: plant metagenome
Description: partial contains small subunit ribosomal RNA, internal transcribed spacer 1, and 5.8S ribosomal RNA
Source: RNAcentral